RNAcentral lists this ribosomal RNA (253 nucleotides) under uncultured bacterium. RNAcentral describes it as "partial 16S ribosomal RNA". It matches the Rfam family "Bacterial small subunit ribosomal RNA", at positions 524 to 776 of the family's 1533-position model. The record is from RNAcentral.
GACGAAGGUGACGACCGUUGUUCGGAAUCACUGGGCAUAAAGCGCGUGUAGGCGGCAUCGUAAGUCGGGUGUGAAAUCCCUCGGCCUAACCAAGGAAUUGCGCCCGAAACUACCUUGCUUAAGGACCAGAGGGAAGCCUGGAAUUCCUGGUGGAGCGGUGAAAUGCGUUGAUAUCAGGAGGAACACCGGCGGCGAAGACGAGGCUCUGGCUGGUUUCUGACGCUGAGACGCGAAAGCUAGGGGAGCAAACGGG